Molecule: ribosomal RNA, 251 nt
Filed under: uncultured prokaryote
Description: partial 16S ribosomal RNA
Rfam family: Bacterial small subunit ribosomal RNA
Source: RNAcentral
ACGGAGGGGGCUAGCGUUGUUCGGAAUCACUGGGCGUAAAGGGCGCGUAGGCGGCUUUGUAAGUCGGGGGUGAAAGCCUGUGGCUCAACCACAGAAUUGCCUUCGAUACUGCAUGGCUUGAGACCGGAAGAGGUAAGUGGAACUGCGAGUGUAGAGGUGAAAUUCGUAGAUAUUCGCAAGAACACCAGUGGCGAAGGCGGCUUACUGGUCCGGAUCUGACGCUGAGGCGCGAAAGCGUGGGGAGCAAACAG